GCGGGCGGGGAGCGAUGCGCGCCGCGGCCUCACGGGCGGGAAUUUUCUUCCGGGGUGCGGCCCGCUCGGGGGGUUUCGCUUCCGGGACGGUGCUGCGGGCCCUUCCCACCCCCGCCAGGGGAAGGGGGCAAAAAGUUUUCAGACCUUCUUACUACAUUAGAAGAAAAAAGGAAGACAACAAGAGAGCACCUCCGUUUCCUCCCCUCUGCAUGUUCCUCAUAACGUUACCGGGUUGUUUGCCUGCAACUGGGACAGCCAUGGAGAAGAGUGGGAACAUUCAGCUGGAGAUUCCUGACUUCAGUAACUCUGUCCUGAGCCACCUGAAUCAGUUACGCAUGCAGGGUCGCCUGUGUGACAUUGUGGUCAACGUGCAGGGGCAAGCUUUCCGUGCUCACAAGGUGGUACUGGCUGCCAGCUCGCCCUACUUCCGCGACCACAUGUCCUUGAACGAAAUGAGCACCGUUUCCAUUUCUGUCAUCAAGAACCCUUCCGUUUUCGAGCAGCUCCUUUCCUUUUGUUACACCGGUAGGAUAUGUCUGCAGCUGGCCGACAUCAUCAGUUACCUAACGGCCGCCAGUUUCUUGCAGAUGCAGCACAUCAUAGACAAAUGCACACAGAUACUCGAGGGAAUUCAUUUCAAAAUUAACGUGGCAGAGGUGGAAGCGGAAUUGAGCCAGACCAGGACAAAGCAUCAGGAGAGACCACCGGAGUCUCACCGGGUGACACCAAAUCUAAACCGUUCUCUGAGCCCGCGUCACAACACUCCAAAGGGGAGUCGCCUGGGCCAGGUUAGCACCGUGCUGGACAUUCGGGAGCUCAGCCCGCCCGAGGAGUCCACCAGCCCCCAGAUAAUUGAGCAGAGUUCAGACGUGGAAGGCAGGGAGCCCAUACUACGGAUUAACAGAGCAGGACAGUGGUACGUUGAGACGGGAAUGGGAGACCGUGGGGGACGGAACGAUGACGACGUCCGGGUACUGGGAGGAGUACGCAUUAAAACCGAGAACCUGGAGGAGUGGCUUGGGGCAGAGCAUCAGCCGUCGGGUGAAGAUGGGAGCAGUGCUGAGGAGGUCACUGCUAUGGUUAUCGACACCACAGGCCAUGGAUCGAUGGGCCAAGAGGCUUACGCGUUAGGGUCCUCAGGUGCCAAAGUGGUCAGGCCGACCAGCAGUGAGAUUGAUAGAUUUAGCCCUUCUGGCAGCAUGGUUGCUGUGACUGAGCGGUACAGAUCAAAAAGCGAGUCUCCCGGGCGGAUGGAUGAGCCCAAGCAGCCCAGUUCCCAGGGGGAGGAAUCAGCCAUGCUGGGAGUGAGUGGUUACGUGGAAUACCUCCGAGAGCAGGAGGUUUCAGAGCGCUGGUUCCGGUACAACCCACGGCUCACUUGUAUUUACUGUGCCAAAUCCUUCAACCAGAAAGGCAGCCUGGAUCGGCACAUGCGUCUCCACAUGGGCAUCACACCUUUUGUCUGCCGCAUGUGUGGGAAGAAGUACACCCGCAAGGAUCAGCUGGAGUAUCACAUCCGCAAGCACACAGGCAACAAGCCCUUUCAUUGCCACGUCUGUGGCAAAAGCUUCCCUUUCCAGGCCAUCCUCAACCAGCACUUUCGCAAGAACCACCCUGGCUGUAUGCCUCUGGAGGGGCCUCACAGCAUCUCCCCUGAGACCACGGUCACGUCUCGGGGGCAGGCAGAGGAAGAAUCUCCUCCACAGGAGGAGGCUGUUGCUGUUGUGGAGACGGCACAGGGAUCUGUGUCCACCACUGGGCCAGAUUGAAACACAGCUGCAGAGUCUGGGGAGAAAGGACCGUCUUCCCAUUUUUGGCUCUAAAGUACCCGGCAGGCUGGUACUGUAAUUAGUGCAAUGCCACCACUGGACAGAAGGAAGCUCCCAAGAUGUUGCCAAAAUAGAAAAAUCUUUCUCUCUCUCUCUCUCUUUCUCUCACACACCCACACACACACACACACACAUAGAGUGUUAAAAGUUUUUCUCCCUUAUUCCUCCUCCGCUUGGAGAAAAACAGAACAACUGUGUCAAUCAACUUCUUAUUCAGGGAUCGACAGGAUUUUAAAUUUUUUUAAUGUUCCGUAGUGAUCUGAGAUGAGCAGUCGUUUGUAUUUCUCAACAGCAUUUUGGCCCAGCAGCUGGGGCCCGCUGGCAGUGCCAGCGUCAGCCAUGCAGACCCAGUGAGCCUAGUGUGCAGGACUGCUCCUUGCCAUAUCUGCUGGUCCAGCUCAAGGGGAGAGCAGGGGUAAGAUGCCAUUGCCUUUCUCCCUUCCCCAGGUAGCUACCACAUUAAAGAAAACAAAAAGACUGUCCUGGUGGAACCUGCCUUGCCUGAGUGUAUUUUCCCUGUCUUAUUUUUGGUGUGUCUCUACAUUUUUACUUAAACUAUUAUUUUAGGGCUCUUGGCUUGCCCCUUCCAGGCAUGUGGCCUCAACGCCCCUUGUUGAAAGUGGGCAUGGCUAUAAAGCAGUAUUCUAGAGGUCAGCAAAAUUUGAAGCGCUUCGGCUACUGAAAGUGAAAUUUAGCAGCUGUGAGGUUUGCAUUAGACUCUGAUGUGUUGGGAGAAGGGUUGGAGGGGUCUUUCUGAGGAGGCUGCUGAUCUGGAGAGUUCAGAGCGCUCUGAUGUCCUGACUGGUGCCUGCUUCAGGUGUUGCCGAGCGUUAGGAAGAGUUUUUCAGGACUGGCUGAAUUGUGGAGUUAGAGGCUGGCUACCAAAGUCGUCCUUCACCCCUACUCCUCCCUCAACACGCACUUGAUCUUUUAUAACAGCAAUAUGGUACACUGAAAUACUAUUGUCCCAGCCAAGCAAUUCUGGGUGGUUGCUUUUAAAUGUGUUUCUACAAACUAGUUUGAUAACUUUUUUAUCAAUGAAAUGCAAAAAGAAAAAAAACCUACUUUAUUUCCUUGUAACAGUUCAGGAAACUUAAAAGUGACUGGUUCCUAGAGCAAUCACAACUCUGUCCUCUUGCAUGGACUUAAACUUUUGUAUUCUAAGCAGCUCUGAUGUUUAGAGCAAGUUUAGGCUGGAGAGACAUGCCUGCGUUGUGUAUUGUAGGUGUUUGCACGUGCUUACGUGUUUCAUAAACAGAAAAGCAUGGGACAGGUAGAUAAGUGCAAAUAUCUUGACAUCUUUUGAAGAAGUUUUUUAAAAAAUAUGCAAUACUCUUAAGAGUUUUCUCUGGUUCUGAUGCCGAGUUGUUCAUGAUGCAGGGGGGAAAUGAACGACAAGUUGCGCAGAUGGGGUUUGGGAGAGGAUGUUUGGCUUAAGGAGUUCUAUUGAGGAUAUAUAACAUGUACAAUAAGGAAGGAUGAAGUUCUGAUCCUUAAGGUGAUGGGAGGAACAAGGAGACAUUGAAAAAGAAAUACACUUCAUCUUGCUUUGGCAAAGCAAGCCGGGCAAGCAGUUAGAGCAUGGGCUUGGCAGGCAGGAGGCUUACCAAGUGAAAAUAAAGCUUGCCUGCAGGCUGACUGCACAACUUUGGGCACAUGGAAACAUCUCCAGCCCUCGCUUUCCCCAUCUGCAAAUUGGAACUAAGGAUCAUUUUCCUGCCCCUUUAGAGGGAAGAAUCUGGAGAAGAGUAAUGUAUUCUUGCCUCACUUUAUACAUUUUUCUCUUUUAUAAGUGAGGGCUCUUAUUGUUCCUUCCAUGUCUCUCGAAAAUCAGAUGUGGUUGUAAUGGAUUUGCGUGGGGGGAAGAGAAAGGCUUGGUGCCAGGAUCAUGUGUAACAGGGAUGUGCUCCUAAGAGAGGAACCUUUGCAGGUGUUCUGAGCUGGGCAUCUGCAAAGUACAAUCUCAUUGACCAUUUCAAAGAGGAAAAAUUGUAUUCCACCUCCGUUUUCCUUCUGUCCCUUCUUCUUCCUCUCCUGUCAAGUGCAUUGUCACACAGUGAAUGAUUUUCUAAGCGGCCACCUGAGGGACCAGCCCCACUGGGUUUCCUGUUGAAGGUCAAACAGGACUGUACUGAAACAGUAAGGUUGCCAGAGAGCAGUCACAGAAGAUGAGAUAAGAGGGUGGCUAAGGUAGGUUUCGUUGCAAUCGAGGUGUGGGGAGGAGCGGAGACGUGCCUAGUAUGCUGCUUUAGUCAUAGCUUUUGAAAUUACCAAAAAUCAAAAAGAAAAAAGUUUAAAACUUUGAAAUCCUAUCCUGUUCACACUAGAAAGCAUCAAAAGUGACUUUUAGUUGCUUAAAAGAUUUUAGAGUGUUUUAAAAUAGAAGUUUUAAAAGAAUACUACCAAACUAUAAAAACAUAAAAUUAUUUAUAUACAUAUAUUAUAUAUAAAUAUAGUGGGAAAGUUUCCCUGCUAAGCUUGCUGUGAGGAGAAGGGUGAAGGUGCAGUAACUGCUAUACAAGCAACAUUUUUCCAAAACAGAUGGCAACCAAUCCAUCAAAGCGUAGUGAUGAAGGGCUGACAUAAAAUGAUGAAUGCCUUUGUUUGUGUGGCACAGCUUUGAGUUUCUUGAGCAGGUUUUUGUUUUACUGUAUCGAUACUGUGAACGGAGGAGCAUCCCAACAGUCCAGGAUGCCAGCGUUGCAUCCUGUUUUGCUGAUUCACUACUUUCAAUUGGCCUGGUGAAAACCAUGGAAUUGGUCCUUCAUGUUGUACUAGGCUAGUCUGAAAACAAAGCUUGUGAAAGGUUUUUAUUUUUUCUUCUUUUAUGGGUUGGGUGGGUUUUUUUGUUUGUUUGGGUUUUUUUUGGUGCAGAGGUUGCCACUGUAUAAAUGAUCAUUUCUGAUUGCAUGCAAAAGAGCCAAUAUUCUUGCCUGGGCCUCGCUGAGGUGAAGUUUAUAGCUUGUAGCUAGAGUCAGUAUAAGGUAUGGUAGUGGGAAUCAUUUUAAUAUUAUUUCUGUACAUUUAAUGGAUGUGUAUGUGUACGUAUGUGUGGAAAUCAUGGUGUCUCUAGUGUUUUCUUGAACAGUGCUGAAAGCAAUUUAAGCCCAUCCGCACUAGAAGAUGGAACCAGUUCAGAAGGAAUUGUUUAUUAAACUUUUCUUUCAGUGACUGAUUUCCUCAGUGCAGAUAAGGCCAAGGUUCAAGAAAAAAGGGGUUGGAGGUUGUAUGCGGUAUGGGAAAACCUCAUGUGAAAUUUCCGGCAGUGGUGUAGCUACCUGGAGCUGCUUUCCAUAACAGAAUGAUACCAUCUUCUGUUGCCUCUCCACUGGCACACUGUGUAGCUCUUUACAGUUGCAUCAAAGCUGUAGAGAAUCAGAUGCCAACUUUCCAACUGCGAAUGCUUCUGUGAUGGGUUGAGGCACAGCUUUGCAUUUCCACGUCUAGCUGCAGCUUUUUCCCCUCUGCCAAAACUGUGAUUUCAACUGUGAUUUAAGGAGGAUGUAAAGAGAACUCUGUCGUGUUUUAAUACCUCUGUACGUAACAUUUCUGUCCGCUUCAGAGUUUGGGCUUACUAACCCAUUUGUUUGCUUGCCUCAGGCAACAGGGGGAACACACUCUAUUUCUGCAGUUUUCUUUCUUGGAGGAGAACACAUUUCUUAGUUCUUUGCUGUGGCAGAGAAACCUUUCAAAUGUGAAUCGUUGUGGUUAUCUCCUUAAGCCUGCAGAAAGCCCUGGUGCCAAGUCACAGCAGAGUGAUGUGACUGCUCCCUGUGCUGCCAGGCUCCCUGUGAAUAUCUGUGAAAAUAGCAAGAAUUGUGUUAAUACUGUGCUGCUGCUUUGGGGAAAAGCUGAACUUGUUCCUCUCAGGAGGAUGACUGAUGUGAAGCUGGGAAAGGGAAAAAGCAGAAGGUCUUUUUGCUGUCUUGCAGUGGGAGUAUGUGAAAACAAACUAUGCUUCUUAUUUCCAGCAGCUAGAUAGAGAGGGAUGAACGAGGAGGCUUUAUGAAAUGUGAAUUUAUAACAGGAGGCUGAGAACACACUUAAAGCUGCUUAAUAAGAUCCCAGGAUAUCAGCCUGGUAAGAGUCAGAGCAGCUGAUGCAGAAGGGCAAUUCCUCACUUGUCCUCCCAGCAUUGUCUGGCCAUCAGGUUCAGUCCUUUGACUUACCUACAACUUCUCUACAAUAUUUUCAAGCUGUGAUUUAACUUCCAGAAGUUUGGUGGCUGAAGGGUGGGAAGAAUAGAAAGUGUUUUGUGUCUCUGCUGCUGUUUUAAGUCCAGCUGAGGUCAGUAGCAACUGCCUCUGUUCCUCUCCGACAGCUCUUCAGAGCUGAAAUUGCAUUUGGAACAAGCUGUGAUCUUGCUGUAAAGCAUAGCGGGGCAGGCUUGGUGGGGAGGGCACGGAGCCCUCUGUGAGAUCAAGGACAGAUAUCUCCCUGCCUGUCCUGCUCUUGUUCUGUGACAGCUAGGUGACUGUUCCAGGGAAGGCUGUCCCACACCUUUACGCAAUAGUACUGUCACUUAAAAGUUUGACGCUCAUUUCAGUAAAUGAUUCUAAGCAGUCUGGUCUUCCAGCAGAGUCCUUCUUCUGCUUUCAGGUGAUGCAACCAUAAUGAUGCACUUGCAAGAGCAGAGUUGUAGCUUUUAUUUGUUGCUGACUUCAUCUCUCCUGCAGAACCCAAUGCAUAAAUAGAAAGACACCUGAAAAGGUGCAGUUCAUUUGGGUGGAAGGUAGCAUGUGAGGUGGAGGGUCAUGCAUCUUUAAAACCAACAAAAAUUGGCAACCCUUAAUCUUGUUAUUUCAACUUUAGAACAUUCUCCUCUUUGUAAAAAUCUCCUCUCCAUGACAUGCUUGCCUUACCAGCAUCCAGGUGUUUCUGCAGAUGAUAAACACCAAAUGCUGUUCUUGCUCUACCGGAAAUAUUUUUGGGAUGGGAGAAGUCAAGGAGCUGUAAUUCAGGAGACUUCUAAUUUUUGUCAAGGUUUGGGCUCUGAGUUUCCCCUGGGAGCUGAGCCCGUAGCCAGGACUGCCGUCAGAAAGUCUGGGGUCUUUCAAUGGCGCUGCCACUGACUGCCAGCAUAGCCUCAUCUCAGAGAUGAGCAUUACGCAUAUCAUAAGGCGAGAUCCAUGCAAAGAGCUUUGACAUCUUCAGUGUAAGGUCCUAAAGAGGAGCCAAUUAUCUUUAUUUCAAUUGUUAUCAUUCAAAGCAUAUUUUAAUAUAAAAUACAUACAUAUGUAUGUAUAUGCAUUUAUAUAUAAAUAUAUAUAUUUGUAACCAAAUAAAAGCUAGACCUAUGCAAACACUACUAGCUGCUGCUUGAAACUAAUGUCUACCAGAACAUUUUGGGAUAGAUUUGGAGUAGAUUUGUUGGGUUUUGUUGUUGGUUUUGUUGUUUGUUUUGUUUUUUAAUAAGAUGCAGCAGACCAAACUUUUGCUGCAGUUAGUCUUACUAGAAAUUUAGGUUAUUCCUAAUCUGGAACCCACUCAAGUGGGUUAUAAAAUUAUCUGAAGAGUCCUACCAUCUCUAAAAUAUUUCCAUCUGCCUUGGUAUUAUUGCUGAAAGGCUUUCUUUUGCGAAACAUAGGUAAACACGGAGGCUGGAACUAGGAGAGACUGAAUGUGAUGUUUGGGAGAUAGCUAGAAGAGAAGUAGAAUCAAGAAAAGACUGGGAACAUUUUCUUUUGGAUGUAGGAUUGUGUUGGCUUCAAGGAAUCUUCCUCCUGGUGAAAAUGUCUGUCACUGAGAUGGGGGCAGUGAUCGAAGCAUCCCCAGGCUGAAUUCUGGUCCCGGUGGAGGUAUCAGAAAUCUUCCCACUGAAUCUGAUGGUACUGGACUUCAGUCUGCUGGGAGAAAUUUCAUGUGGUUUCAACCAUUUCUUUGUGUCAGAUCCAAUCUUAGCUUUUAGGAUUAAGUACAAUAUAUCCAGCUGUAAUCUUCAGUGCCCUUUGACUUUCUAUUCCUGGUACUGUAGACAAUUCAGGUUUCCUAUAACAUUAUCCUUAUCCCAACUGUGAACAAGUUACUACUGCUUCUUAUAAUUUAUUGUCUUUCUGUUCCUGAACGUCUGUGUGAUCAAGCUGUUCACCAGCACCACCUUCCAGUGCUUCAUUAGCUUUUAUGCACAGGGAAUUGUUGCAAUGCUUAAGUUGACCAUGCUAGUUGGAAGAGUAGAAGCCUUUGGAAAAUGACUUUUGCUUCCUCUAGCUGUCAUUAGGGAGUGCACACACACAUACCUGUAUAUACAUAUAUAUGUAUACGUAUAUAAAGUAUUUCAGUAUAAACUCAUUUAGCAUUAUUCUUAUUUAAUUUAUAUUUUAAUCCAAUUGUAAACCAAAGUAUUACAGCUUGUGAAAUGAUGUGUCUCAGAAAUAGGAGGAGCCUUUUUAGACGGGAGCUCUGAAAGAUCUUUGCUGACAAAAGCACAGAUACGAAUAAGACUUAAGAACUCAUGCUGCUGAAUCCUAGAGAUUUGCAGCCUUGGAAGGAUUUAAGACCUGCUGGGUAAAGUUUGAUGGUGGGAAGGCAGUGUGAGUUACCAUUUUAAAACAAUGUUUUGGGGUUUUUUUGUCAUCCAGUAUAACUUGGUAUUGGAGGAAUUGCUACAAAAGCAGUGUGGUGGGGCAUCUGAUGAAAUGAGGCGUGUGGUUAAAGCAUGGUUAAAGCUAAGAAGACGAUGCCGUGUAUUAUUGUUUGCUUCUGGUGUCUUCUGAUCACAGAUCCGGACUGAGGUGUGCUGUGUUCAGCUUUGGGCAUCUCCAUAUUGCCUUGUUGAACAUCCCUGCAGGGAGCUGGUCAGUUGGUAGUUUGAGUGAGCACGUUAAAAGCAUGACUCAGUGGCAUUUCUACUGCUGGACUUUUCCAGCAGAAUCACUCUGGAGUCUGCCAUCCUCCUGUGCCUGGUCACAAAACCUGGGGCUUCUGCCCUGCCUCUUGAAUUGGGAUCCUUUAAGAAAGUACAAGGACUUGCCUACUAGACUGCCUCAAGGAAAUCUCCUGCAAGGGAAAAUGAGGCAGGAAUUUAGGAGUGAGUUUGCUGUGUAUGCUCUACCAUGGAUCUAAAGUGAUUCUAUAUGGUCUUCUGCCUGACCCAUUCCUUGUAAAUGCAGGCUUUGGAUGAAUUUUUGUAAGCAUGCAUAGAAAAGAUGGGACAGGCUGUCUUAGUGCUAGGACUGCUUCUGCCUGCAUUCCGCUUGGCUCACUGUUUCUUGCUGCAGUAUCUGAUAGGGGUUGGAGUUGAGAGGUGUUUGUUGAGAUGGAGUACAGCGGCCACCGGACCAGGUGCUCCUGGGCUUUGGCUCAUCUAUGCUGUCAGAGCGACUAAAGCUCUGAACCCAAGAGGCAGGGUUCAGGGCCUUCUGAAGACUUGGAGAUUGCAGAGUUAUUCAUGGUACUGAAUGGUUUUGUAGGACAACAAGUAUGUUCUGGCAAGCCUAGAAAUAAAAAGGGAGAAGAAAGCAAAUCAGACUGUAGUCUGGCACAAGUGGGAGCUAGAGAGAGGAAGCCACACAAACAGCCACUGAUGUAUUUAGUGUCUAGUUUAUAGUUCUAGAAAACCAGCCAUUGCUAUUUACUGAUAUCUAGAGGUGAUUGUGGGUUUUUUUAGUGACUUUUGUGGAGGUGCACAUUCUGCUGUCACCAGUGGGAUGAAAAACUGGGUUCAGAGAUAAAAUCUUGCUGAUUCUUCUGUGCCAGGGAGUAACUGCCUUUCCAAGGAAUUAACUACCACUAAGAACAUAUUAAUCUCUUAAAUCUCCCACAGGCUUCCCUGUGUCUCUUAUAUUGAGCAAGGUGGUGGCCCAUGUACCUUUGUUGAUCACAUAAGUUCAUUUAAUACUCCCCAGCAGGAUUAGUGCAUACUCGCAGCUCAUGGUAUAUCAUGCACUCUGUCAGCCACUCACAGUACAGAUUUUAGCUACUAGAUCUGGCAAAUGUAAAAAGACUGUAAGCUAAUCUUUUUGUAAUUGUAGUCGCCAGGUAUUAAUGGGUUCAGUACAAGACCCCUUCUGUGCUGCAUGCUGUGCUAGUGCAUAGAAACAUCUAUCUGUCACAUCAAAUUCCUUUUGAUUGAGGCAUCCUGUAAGCAACCUCAGUGCAAAGGUGCUUCUGAGGGCAGCUAUCAGAAGAAACUGGUCUGAUACCAGCAGCAGAUCCCAUCUAGCUGCUGUGUCAAAUAGCAUUUGCUCUGAUAAACUGGGUAAAAGAAAAAGGGAAAGCAGGAUCAGGAGAAGAGAGGUACCUUAGACCAAGCGCUGGCUGCUAAUUGAGCAGAAAAGGGUUAUUUGGUUGAGACAGUGGUGUAUGUGGAAUUUCUGUAAUUUUUUUAUUCAAAUAACUUUCAAUAACCUUUUUUUCACCAAAAAUUUCCCAAGUUCAUUAUGUAGUAGCACUUGCGUCAGUAUGCUGCAUCCAGUGGCUCCUGGGUGUUUAGUGGGUUGGUGAUGAUAUGUUAGCUGGAGGCUUUGGGUGAGGGAGUUAUGAAUGCAGGCUGCUGGCUGUCUUUCCAUAUAAUCAUUCUGAUGGCUUUAGGACACAGACCAAAAAUGCUUCUUUUUGUUUUAAAGCUUUAAUCCUUUUCAUGGAAAUGUUGAAAAAAAUCUUAGCUCACUCCCCAGUUAUUUUUAUGUUCUGUUCAGCUGGAUUCUUAUCCAGCAUCCAUAUGUGAUCUAAGAACAAUUUCUGUAACACCCACAAGUAGGACUUUGUAGGACUGUGCAGAACUCUGCAGAUCACAGAAGGCUUAAAACCUGUGGCUGUAGGAGGUGAUGUUUGUAACAUGGUUUUCAUGCUGUCAUAGAGGUUGGGAGGGAUGAGGAAGGGUCUUUGCAGAGAUCCGGUCUCUGUCGCAGUGUGGAUGGAGUCACUGGGCACCAUUGCCUGCUUGUAGGGGGCUUUGAGGUUAAAGGUACAGCUGGGAUUUUCCUCAGAUUUUCCUUGUGGCUUCCCACUGCAUGAGUGCUUCAGUAGUAAACAACAGACUGCUGCCGUCAGCAUCAGGAACGCAGUCAGCAUUGAGACUGUGUGUCAGGACCCUGUGCGGGAAUCUUAGGAGGGGAAUUAUGCACCUUCAGAACUAAAAAGUUGAACUUGUCAAAGGCUUUUGUGAAUGAGGAGUUAAACCUGCUUUUGGCAGGGUGGUGGAGCAGGCCUGAGGGUUUUGGCUGUUAACAUAUAUUCAGAUCCUUGUUUUUGCAGGGUGAGAUGGGCCAUUUCAGAAAUCUGGGCAAGGAAAAGUGGUAGCGUUUGAACUCCGUGUUCUCAUUCCAGGUUUGCACCGAGAACCGCACCAGAAGUGGUGGCAAAUCUCGCUACAGCCGCAGACUCACUGCAGCCUGUACACGGGGAGAGGCCUUUUCCCUCUAUGCUGCUAAGCACUGUAAAGGAUUCAGUCUUCAAAAGGAUGGAAGACAGCAGCACUUCAAUCACACAGAUAGUUUGCCUACAUUAGCCAGAGUUUCUUUAGGUAGCCAGGGGCACGCCAUCUGGUUCUUUCUAGCCUGAGCCAUUUGUUGUAGCAGGGAAGAGAUCUGCAAAGUGCAAACAGAAAUAGUGAGGAAAGGAGGUUGGCUUAGCAGGGAGGAGGGAGACAGCAGAAAUGUGAAGAGGGCUCAUUUGUUGUCAGCAGUGGCUGGGGCUGUUCGCGCUGGAAACCAACAGGAGGUGUGGGCAGAAUAGGUGAAACAGCAGCAAAGCGUCACUGGGAAGAAGCAUGCAGGUGUGUCUAGCAUGUUGUGGGUGCUGUGGGCAGGGAAAUGCUGGUUUUAGAACCUGCAUACGUUCAGGAGCAUGCAGGAAACCCUCCUGCCUUGGGAGACAGGCAUGCAAAGACGCUUAUACGCUGUCCUGAAAUUUUAGAGCUGAGUAUCACCAGUGUUUUCCAUCCUGCAGCUGUGAAUGGUAACAAAGGAAAAUGAGUCAGUUCCUCGUGGAGGCAAAUUUACUGUGCGGAUUUCAGAAACUCCAUUGGAAGGAACUGAGGGGUGGCAAGUGAAGGCUGGAAAUGGGUAGUAUCAGAGAUUUCAAAGUGCCAUUUUCUGAAUGUUAGGUUUUCUAGCCUGUGUUUAAGCUGUUGAAGCUGUUGAAGACUGAAGUGUGCUCAGCAGCCAAGGGGAGGGUGUAGAGAAGAUGGAACCAAACUCUUCUCAGAGGCACAUGGUGAAAGAAGGAGCAGCAGUAGGCAGAAAUUUAUACAAGGGAGGUUCAGGUUAGGUAUUACAAGACAUUUUUUCACUGUGAGUAUAGCCAAACAGUAUUCGAACAAAGCCUCCCACCCUCCCUUAUUUUGGACUUCUCUGUUACUCCCCUGGCAUAUAAAAUAUUGGUCCACCUCAUGCUACAGUGCAUAAUACAUAACAAGGGAUAGAGACUUUUAUCCUACCAGUGCAUUUCCAGUUAGUUUUGGUUUUUUCAUUUAACAGUGUUUAAUCCAUGAAAUAGCAUCUUGUGUGCCAUGGUCUAUGGAGAAGUCCAGCUGCUCCCCACGCGUGAGUGCAGCCUCCAGGUUCCUGUUUCCAUUAGACUACGUCAAGCUGUAUUUUUUUUUGUUACUUUUUUUUGGUAUUAUCAUGUAAAAAUGGGCAGCUUUAAUGGGCUUCCUAGUUCAUAUCAGUUAAGCUUUUGAAACAUAUUCAGGUUUCUCUUAAAUACUGCUGUGUAAGUUCCUUAUUUAAUCUGACAUAUUCCAGUUUAUUAUUUUACUGCAGUUAUCUAAGGCAGUACUUAAAAAAAAAAUCAGUGCAUUAAUUUUUUGCAGACUGUCAGCUAUGUUAAACCUCCAGCUUUACUUAGUUUUUGUCAGUGUACUUAACCCCCUCCCCCUCAGAUCUAUGGUUAAAUGUCUUCAUUAUUUUUAUGUUGCAGUGAAGCUUAUUUAUUUAAAAAUUCCUGCUAUCUUUGCAGUCAGACCUAAUACUAUUGGCUAUGAAACUGUGAAACUAAUUAGAAAUGAAAAAUGAAGCUAGAUUGGUUAGUUUUACUGCUGGUUGUAAAAUACAAAAAAUAGCAGCAUAAAAGGAGAAAAAUACAAUUGAAAUUACUCAGUCUGGGGUGGGGGGAGGAAUCACAAGACUAUGGCUGAGAAAUUUCUUGGAAAUGAGUUUUAACCUGAUGAUGUUACUUUGCUGGUUCCUCAUUUGGUCAAGUUUAAAAGCUGUUUCUUGAGACUGA
Molecule: RNA transcript, 12995 nt
Organism: Strigops habroptila (Kakapo)
Lineage: Eukaryota; Metazoa; Chordata; Aves; Psittaciformes; Psittacidae
Gene: ZBTB37
Gene name: zinc finger and BTB domain containing 37
Exons: 6
Source: RefSeq, a predicted model, not a curated record